Molecule: ribosomal RNA, 253 nt
Filed under: uncultured bacterium
Lineage: Bacteria
Description: partial 16S ribosomal RNA
Rfam family: Bacterial small subunit ribosomal RNA
Source: RNAcentral
UACGAAUGGAGCAAGCGUUGUUCGGAAUCACUGGGCUUAAAGCGUGCGUAGGCGGACAUGAAAGUCAGGAGUGAAAUCCCCGGGCUUAACCCGGGAAUUGCUUUUGAAACUCCAUGUCUAGAAUCCGGUAGAGGUCAGGAGAAUUCCAAGUGUAGAGGUGAAAUUCGCAGAUAUUUGGAGGAAUACCAGUGGCGUAGGCGCCUGACUGGGCCGGUAUUGACGCUGAGGUACGAAAGCAUGGGGAGCAAACAGG